Molecule: long non-coding RNA, 4605 nt
Organism: Pteropus alecto (black flying fox)
Lineage: Eukaryota; Metazoa; Chordata; Mammalia; Chiroptera; Pteropodidae
Exons: 2
Source: RefSeq, a predicted model, not a curated record
AGCAAACAAUAUAAACUUUAUAAGCUUCAAAAACUGCAUGGAAAUAUGUGAACUGCAAUAGUCAUCUGCCUCUAAAUAAAGGAAUUAUUGGUUAUUUUUUCUCGUCAUUUUAAAAAUAUUUUAACAUUUUCAAAAUUUUCUUUACUUACAUAUACUACUUUUAUAAUCAGAAAAAGAAAUCCAUUACUUGUUAUAGAUAGGUGUUUAUGUCUCAAUGCUAUGUUUUCAGUAUCAUCACGAGUAUAUUGUUGACCAAAAGAAAAGUUUGAUAUUAUAUAAAUCCAAAUAAUAGAGUUUUCAAAACAAACACUAAACCAUAUCCUAUAACUUAUAAAGUUAUAAUAAUUUAGUAUAAUUUACUAAUGAUUUUGACAUGGUGUUCAUUGAUGGUGGAUGAUGGAGAUGGUUAGAGAGGGGAUGCCUCAAUUAAUUUACCAAGUUCCUUGAAUCUGUCAGUUAGUAACUGUUGCAAUAAGAAUGUAAUGAUGUCAAAAAGCUGUCCACAAAAUUGCCAUUAGUGUAGUGAAUUUUUGCAAACUACUAUUUUGUACUUCAAAAAGAACAGUCUCUUAAGUGCUAAUUUUUUACAAACACACACACACAAAAUUUGUUCUUACCUUGUUUAUUUUGGCCAGCUGUGAGCUUCAGGUAAUAUUUUGUAAUCUGGCAUCACCAGUAAAAAAGGUUUCUUGUGGAAAUAACUGUCAACAAGACUUACCUUGUAGGGUAGUUAUAAGUUUUAGAAAUCAUGUAUGUAAAAUGCCUAACACAGUAAAUGAUCAUUAUUAUAAUAAUAUAUAAUGUUACUUUGACUUCUUGCCUUUAUAUUCCUAUAUAUAGGGUAAACUGAAAAAAUGUGAAGCGCUGUUUAUGUAAAAACAUCAUUCUAGACUUUCAGAUAAAGAUGAGGAGUGGAGGCAGACCAUGAAAUCUUCCUCCCCAAACACUUUACAAAAUGGGUAAAACAAAGAACAGUCAAAACUUCUUUAAUAACAUUACUGGAAAUAGCCAUAAAAAGAAAAUGUCCACAAGCUAAGCCAACGAAGGCCAAAAUAAUGCUAUUAUUUCAAAAUAAAUAAUUUGGGACAGCAAGAAAUAGCAUAGAAUAGCUGGAAAUUCAAUUCUCACCAAAAGGAAACACUGACAACCCCAGCACUUUCCCCUAGUCAACUCAUUUUUCCAUUCUCCAAGAUGAUCAUGCCUCAUCUCUCCUAAAUCUCCCAUUAUCUCCCUGCACCUCACUUCAAACUCGUUUCAUCGAUAAAUAGAAGCUGUCACAAGAGAAACUCGUUUCCCACACUGUAUCCACAAACCUGCAUUCAUCUCUAUUAAUAUACCUUCCCUUCCUUUAUAAAGGACCAGCUAUCCCUGUUCUUAUCUAAGGCAAGCCCCUCUACUUGUGCCUCAGAUCCUAUCUUGUCUUGUAUAGUCAAGGACUGUGUUCCUGUGAUUAUUCCCUCCAUUUCCUGCACUCUCAAUUUCUCCCUCUCUACUGGAUUAUACCAAUCAGUAAAUAUACUGUAAUAUUUCCCAUCCUCAAAAUACCAUCACAUUAGAUAUCCCCCUCUACUUACAUGGUGAUAGGAGCCCAUUUUUCUGCUCCACUUUAUAACAAAAUUUUGCAAAGACUGUCUAUACUUGCAGUUUCCACUUCCUCACUUUACAUUAUCUAUUCAGGACAUUCCAGUUAGAAUUAUUGUCUCCAUAGCUCCACUUUAACUGCUCUUGAGAUUACAAUUACCUUCUUGCCAUAUCGUUUUACUCUCCCCAAAUGUUUGGAACCCCCAGGCUUAUUCCCUCACUCUUUUUUUAAUUCACCAUCAACGUUCAUUUUUCUCUAGGUCAUCUCAUCCAUUUUUUUUCUAGUUCUAAAUCCUGUCUAGGUUCUCAGGGCUCCUAACAUUGUAGUCUAUCCUUGAUAUCUCUGUUGAGCGCCAAACUCAUAUCCAACCUUCUGCCCAGGAGCUCUACUUAGAUCUCUAAUAAGGACCUCAAAGUUAACACAUUCAAAACAAAUCUCUUAAUUUUCUUCUUCGCUUCAAUUUACUUCUAUCCAAGUUUCCUCCAUGUCACUAAGUUGCAUUAUUUUCAUCUAGUUGCUCAAGGCAAAAACCUAGAAAUCACCCUUAAUUCCUCUUUGUGCCAGUUAUUAAGCUGUUAUCUCAAGCAGUAAACCUAUACUCUGCUUUGUGAUGUGGGACGGAGACUUGGCAACCUCAUUUCUACUUUGCCGGCUGAAUCCCUGCUACAGUGUGUCAAUAGGAGUGUUAGAGAAAGACUGAGAGUCAAGAAGAGAGAACAAGAACUUGCUCUUCGUUGGUUUUCUGUACUUGUCAGCACCGCCCCAGUUAUGGACCUUCAUCCUGACAGCUACGGUUAGCUCUAAAUUUCAAUUAUUUUACACUUUCCUAUAACUAGCUCCAGCAUACCCUCUCAGAGAUACCAGCAGCAAAUGGGCAGCAUCCCCUUUUCUGAGGUCAGGGCUCCAGCUCUGCUGAAUGUUUCCUCAUAGCUUCUGGGUUCUGAUAACUUCAAGUCUUCCCUGUGUUUAUCCAGUACUAAGGGUAGUAGAUCCUUCCCUAAGUUAUUCUAUUAUCUCAGUACUCCCUUUUCCUCAUUCAUUUCGAUAACAUCUAUCUGACUAAUUCUUUAUACACUAGCCCCUUCUUAGCCCCAGUUUUCUUUCAAUGCUUUGAGUUACUACAGUCAGCUGUGGUCUGAAAAUAUUAAAUGAAAAAUUCCAGAACUAAACUAUUCAUAUAUUUUAAAUUGCAUGAUGUCAGGUAGAAUGAUGAAAUCUCACACCAUCCUGCUCUGUCUUGCCCGCAGCACGAAUCAUCCCUUUGUUCAGCGUAUCCGCUGUGUAUACAUACGCUCCCUGCCUGUACGCUAGCAGCCAUCUUGGUGAUUAGAUCGACUGUCGGGGUAUCAAAGUGCUCAUGUUCAAGUAACCUUUAUAAUAGCCUAAUGCUAUGUCACAAUGCCUACAUAACAUUCACUUCACUUCAUCUCAUCACAUAGACAUUGUAUCAUCUCAUAUCCUCACAAGAAAGGAUUGGUUCCUGGAAGUGGAACUACUGUGUCAAAGAUUUGGACAUUUUUUAGACCCCUGAAAGGUAAUAUGGUACUAGUAGAGAUUGUAAAUUUCAUUACUCUUAGCAACACUAGUUAUUAGCAUGUAUUUUCAAUCUUUGUCAAUCUGAUGGGGAGACUCUGUAAGUCAACUUGGUAAAGUUGAAUUUCUGCUAAUAUAAUCAUAUUAAUAACUUUAUUGCCUCAAGGACUUAUAAUUCUUUGUCAUCUCCAUGUUGUUUAACAUAGAGCCUUGCCCAGAUAUUGAAGAAAUGUAUUUUUUAUUGGCUUUGGCAAUAUUUCUUUUAAAAUAAAUUAUAUUUUGAACACAUGGAAAGGUGAAGAAAAUGUAAAGAAGGACCCAAAUUAUUUUACUUAAUAAAAGUAAGAUUGUAUUUAGUUCUUCCUGUAGUAGGCAGGGCAUAAUUGCUAUCAACCAGCAAUAUCAUAUUUUAUUUAUUGAGCUUGGUUCUUUAUUGAAAUCCUAUUGACUUUAUUAGUUACUGUGCCAUUUUCACUAUAGUACUUUCUAAAAUGAUUCUAAAUGCUUAGUUUAUAAGGUUAAGAAAAAAAUUCACUAGAUAACUACUUUGAAAUAAUUUCCUCAACCCUGCCUUCAUCAAGAUACUUAGAAACAGACUGGCUCACUUCCAAUUUUCCUUUAUGUUAUCAUUACCAUGAAGUCAUUCUAGAGAUAGGGUAAUAAGCAUUCUGGCAUACAGAAAAAAAUAGCGUCUGUAAAACUAUAUGGCACAGUUUGCAUGGGGUUGUUCCUCCUUCAGAGCUGCAUUAUGUAAUUUAAGUGUUUACUUAAGCUCCUUUGGGCUGCCUCCAUGGUAGCUGUGAAGUCACAGAGAAUCAGGAACAGUUUCAGCCUGAUAAUAAAGUCGUCCAUUAGUUUAAGGUGAAUACUGUGUCAGUGUAUUUAUCAAUGCUAAUGAGAAUCUUUGCAAAGAUAUACUUGAUUCAUUUUAUGUUUUUAAACAGCAUUCUACUUCAAAAACCAUUAAUAUAUGUAAAAAAACAAAAUGUUCGUAAAUGUACAUUUGCUCACUAUCUAGAUGUACUUAUUGUAAAACCUGUAUUCUAUAGUAUGAAUUUACAGUGUGAUUUUGACUCAGUCUAAAUAUAAAUAAUUAUGUAAAAUCAGCAAAAUAUAUAGACAGUCUUUGAGAGAGAAUGAAGCGUUAAAAUGGCCUAAGCAUUACUUCUAUCUCUAAGUCAUAAAGGAAGUCUAAAAGAACAUCAAAGAUAUAUAAAUUAUCUCAGCUCUAGGAGAAUUUUAAAAGAUACUAGGUUGUAAGAAAAGAUUAUUUAAUCUUGAUUACUCAAGGAAAGGUAGUAUUUUCAGUUCCUUAGAGAACUCUUGAGCCCCUUUAUCCACUAAAUAACUAUGUGUAUUGAUUUUAAAGAAAAAUAAUGUAAUGUGCAUUGUAAAAGUGGGAAAACAGUCAUUUAAAUUUUGUAUUGUAAUAAGUGUUAUAUCAUCUUUAAGGAAAUUUGCAAAUUCUUAUAAAAUGCCUAAAAUCUCAA